UUCCUCACUGAUGAGGGUCGUGACCAUCA
Molecule: small RNA, 29 nt
Filed under: Bombyx mori (domestic silkworm)
Lineage: Eukaryota; Metazoa; Arthropoda; Insecta; Lepidoptera; Bombycidae
Description: ovarian small RNA-37289
Source: RNAcentral